Molecule: long non-coding RNA, 1052 nt
Organism: Mastomys coucha (southern multimammate mouse)
Lineage: Eukaryota; Metazoa; Chordata; Mammalia; Rodentia; Muridae
Exons: 2
Source: RefSeq, a predicted model, not a curated record
UCUAGUGGGGGGGGGGGGCGCAUCUUCUGAUGUUUGUCCAGGCCUUUUACCUUCCAGAUCAACUUUAUUAACACUGCCUCAAUCCCCCAGGCAGUCCUCGGUCCCUAUGGUCCCAUUGCAUCCUGAGGUGUGACUCUUGUGCACAUUUGGUGAAUAUCUGGAUGAAGGCUGCUCCUGCCUUGAGGAGCUAGGAGGGGGAAAGUUAAUGAGAUCAUAUAUAGCGAAGGGUGGGGUCUCCACCUCAGUUCCAACUAACUGUUGCCCAUGUGAGGAUGUCAGUAGUCUUCCAAGGUGUUAAAAGAAGCUCUAGAAAUCUAGUUUGUUUCAACAAAAAGUUCCCCGAUUUUAACAAUCCUGUAGACUGCCUGCCGCUCAGAUUGCAGAACCCAGGUGGGUAAAAGCACACCUCUUACUUUGUACUGGCUGCUGCUUCUCAAGUCCUCCUGGAGGGGGCGCUCUCGGUCUGGCCGCAUCGGCAGUGAAGAUGGUGGAUCCGAUUAAGAUGAAAAAUGGAGGAUCAAAGACGUUUGAAUCCCACAGACCUCAAUAAAAACAAGUCCUGGAGGUAAACCAGGCUGAGCUUCCCAUCUGCUGGAAGAGCCACACCUCAGAGCCUGUGAGCUGUGCUCUGAAAGAGCUCCAGGCUGACCACCCUCCAAGGGCAGACAUCUUUACUGAGAGGCAGGAUGCCCUGUGAAGAUGGACAUGCUGUGCUGUGCUGGCUGACUGGAUGUUCCCUUCCCUAGGUCACCCCCUGCUCCCCUGCUGAGUGUCGAUCAUGCAUCACUCUGGAGUUUAUCUCUAAUCGGCAGUCCUAACCUGAGGGGGAGGAAUUGCUGGCUGCCUUUUAUGGAAGAGCAAACCAAGGCCUAAAGAGACUGUCAGGCACCCACCCAGCUCUUGAUCUAGUGUCUCAGGCUGUUUAUUAAGAUUGGUGGAAGAGGCAGGAUUUGAACACUACUUUGUCAAGCUCCAAACUCUGUCCCUUCUCCUAAGUUCCGUGGCUUCUAUUCCAGCAUCACAAACCAAUGGGGGAGUAAUGAAUAUGACUU